CUUUACGAAAUUAAACGGGAAGCCC
Molecule: ribosomal RNA, 25 nt
Filed under: Trichoderma harzianum
Lineage: Eukaryota; Fungi; Ascomycota; Sordariomycetes; Hypocreales; Hypocreaceae
Description: partial 18S ribosomal RNA
Source: RNAcentral